RNAcentral lists this ribosomal RNA (557 nucleotides) under uncultured Phyllobacterium sp. Its description in RNAcentral is "bacterial SSU rRNA". It matches the Rfam family "Bacterial small subunit ribosomal RNA", at positions 102 to 694 of the family's 1533-position model. Lineage: Bacteria; Pseudomonadati; Pseudomonadota; Alphaproteobacteria; Hyphomicrobiales; Phyllobacteriaceae. The record is from RNAcentral.
ACGGGUGAGUAACGCGCGGGAAUCUACCCAUCUCUACGGAAUAACGCAUGGAAACGUGUGCUAAUACCGUAUACGUCCUUCGGGAGAAAGAUUUAUCGGAGAUGGAUGAGCCCGCGUUGGAUUAGCUAGUUGGUGGGGUAAAGGCCUACCAAGGCGACGAUCCAUAGCUGGUCCGAGAGGAUGAUCAGCCACACUGGGACUGAGACACGGCCCAGACUCCUACGGGAGGCAGCAGUGGGGAAUAUUGGACAAUGGGCGCAAGCCUGAUCCAGCCAUGCCGCGUGAGUGAUGAAGGCCCUAGGGUUGUAAAGCUCUUUCACCGGUGAAGAUAAUGACGGUAACCGGAGAAGAAGCCCCGGCUAACUUCGUGCCAGCAGCCGCGGUAAUACGAAGGGGGCUAGCGUUGUUCGGAUUUACUGGGCGUAAAGCGCACGUAGGCGGACUAUUAAGUCAGGGGUGAAAUCCCGGGGCUCAACCCCGGAACUGCCUUUGAUACUGGUAGUCUUGAGUUCGAGAGAGGUGAGUGGAAUUCCGAGUGUAGAGGUGAAAUUCGUAGA